Long non-coding RNA from Oncorhynchus tshawytscha (Chinook salmon), 777 nucleotides. The record is from Ensembl. NCBI's taxonomy places the organism in Eukaryota, Metazoa, Chordata, Actinopteri, Salmoniformes, Salmonidae.
AUUAUGUAGUUUAUGUUUUUACCACCUCCCACCCCAACGUCCCAAAGCACGCCCUGGUCCACUUCCUGCUCUGCCAGCAGAAAGCAGUGUUUGAGAGCAAACACGGGAAAGUCCCUACCAGUCACCAUCUCCACUGUAGUCUUCUACAUAAUCAGAAAUGAUAGACGAGAAGGAAUCCUCUCCAGACACACUCCUCUGGUGCUGCCCAUGUAUAUGAAGGAGAUAUCACCGUUUUCAAUUAGAGUUGAUUGAAAACGGUCACAAAUAAAUGGAGGGGAAGCCAAUCUACAUGUACAUGAGCUUGAAGAUCCAGGGUGAUGAAAUCAACCUCUACCAGCACCUUGACUUUGAGACAACGAGCCUCCUACUUUACAGAGAAAAGCAGCAAGACCCCCACCUCUACCCCCUAAACCACAAUAUUUACAAAUAGCUAGACACAAACUUCCACCCCUUUCUCCAUCAUUGGAGAACAAUUCCCAGUUCUACUCUGGCGGCUCAUGGCACCCACUCUUCUGCUCCUUAGCAGAGGUGCCCUCUAAUCUACGGAUCCUGGGUGUCGCACUGGUAUGCUCCAGCCUGCGACUGCUCAACUUGGGCUAGUGCUGCCAGGCCUUUGAGAGGGAGAAGAUUGAUGGGACGUGUUAAACACAGUGGAGCCCAGCAUGAUGAGGAAGACCCUGGGUAUGGAGUAUCUGCACGUGGGCAAGCUGCUCCGCUUCCAACAUGGCUGGAGGCCCUUACUUGGGUCCUUUGGAGCUGAGCAGGUUGGGUAGUAAC